AGUCGUCCAGAGCUUGAUAGCAGGACUUCCGGUUCCCAAGUGCCAGCUUUAGAAUGCUUCAUGUGCGGGAAAGAAUGCUGAAAGUAAAUAAUAAGAACCAAUAUAAAAACACAAAAACUAAAAAUAGAUUCUAGAAGAUGCCACUCUCACCCCAUAUGUGGAAGAUUCCAAGAACUGCAAAAAAGAAUUGGAAGUGAAGACUGGUUGGAGAUCUCCUUCCCUCUCUCUUAUAUAUGCAAUGGUUGCUUUGAGGAUAACAUAGGAGGAGGAAGAGAGAACACAGUGAACUUCUUACAUAAAGGUUACCACCAGAUCAAAAAAGCUAUUGCUUCCUGAAUAAAAUCUAUUUGAUUUGCAUGGGACACUGAGCAUUAGUAUGGAAAAAGCAGGCUCUACUACACAAAUAGGUUGAAUUUACACAGUGGUUGCACGGAAGGAAAUAUACUUCUUCUGCACACCUGUGUCACCUUAGACACAAACGAUUUCAUCCUGUGCUGGUUUCUCCCUGACUGCCAGGUGUAUGCAAGGGAAGCAAUGUGAAGAAUACACCUUCAUCUUCAGCCUGCAAGGAGAUUGCGAACUGCCCAGGAACUUGUGUUUGGGGCAGUAUAAAAAUGUGUUAAAGAAAUAAAUAGCCUGAAUGGACCAACCUGAUCCUACCCUAAUGCAAUCAAAACAACUCCAGGCAAUGAUACACCCAGAGUCCUGUUUGUUUUGUGUCCCUACCAGGUUGUACUGCCUCACAGACCUGAGUACAUAGUAUUAGCAUGCUUUUUGUGAUUUUGGAAACUGAUCCAACUCCCCAGAGGAUAGUGUGAACCUGAAAACUUCCUCCAAAUUUAUUUAUUAUUUAAAAGAAGUAUAUGCUGCCAUUCUUCAUAUAUGAAUUCAUGGUGACUUACACUAAAAUUCAUUGAAAAAACACAACAACAAAACACAACACAAUAAAUCAAAUGGCCAGCAUAGGCUUCCAUCUCUUAUUAGCAACCUUAGUCUGAAUCCUUUUUCGACAGUUCUGCUGACAUAACACAGCUAUGGAAGGAAAAAACUGGAUUUUAUUCUGGCUCAGGUAUUAUAAAUAGGAUUGUUGUGUAUGUUCCAAAUGUAAUCUGUCACUCACUUGCAAGUGACAUUGAUGUCUAUGCCUGAAAUAAUACAACUUGACUUUCAAAUUCUUAAGUGAGUUUCUAUGGCUGUCAGAAAAAGAAUUUUCUUCCCUGUAAAUAGAGUAAAUUUCAAAUGUCAGCUACCCACACAGUUCAGAUGCUGCUGGCCCAGUAAUUUAACUCCGAAUGAGGAAGACAGGAGACAGACUCUCACAGAAUAAAAUUAAUAUUGUCCAUUUCUGAAUGGAUAAGAUAUUCUGUUAGGGAUUUUAUAAUUUGACAACAAUUUCACAGGACCAGAAUCCUUAGAACCAUGUACUACCUUUCCUUUGCAGAGUUAGGCUAAGCAUUUAUAAUAACCAGCAUCUCCAAUGCAGCAAACACUGGCUGAGCAAACAAAACAAACAAAUAUAUCUAACAACCAAAAGCAGAGAGUUUGGUAUUUUUUAACAAAACAGAAAUAGAAUUAAUUCAAGUACUUUGACUGAAGAGAUGCAAACUGUGAGUAAGUAGUAAAUAAUAAGUUUAUUAUUGUGACCACAUGCCAUAAUAUAACAUCACAUAGAAGAAAAUAAAGCAUAUUGAAAGGUUGCAUCAUUAGGUUGAGCUAAAACCUGUGCUACCUAUAAAUUUCUUUCUGAGUUUAAAAGAAAGCAUAGUGAAGGUGACAACUUGGCAGCUGACAUUAGGAAUUGCAUCUGCAAAAAGAUAGGUCAAAUGUUCUACAUCCAACCCCUUAAGGCAGGCCUGCUCAACUUUGCCCACCCAGCUGUUUUUGUACUACAACUCAAAUAAUCCCCAGCCACAGUGGCCAAUUGCCAGGAAUUAUGGAAGUGGUAGGCCGACGUCUGCAGGAGGGCCAAAGUUGAACAGGCCUGCCUUAAGGUGAUCUAUCAACAAUGUUUUGCCCCUAAACACUUUGUAAAUGGGGCAAUAAACAUAGUGGAUGAUGUCCUGCACUUGACCAGUGUCACAAGGAUAGAUGCACUGUUCCACUGGGAGUUUGUGAAUCUAAAAUAUGCUGACGGCAUAAUUUGGAAAUGGAAAGCUGUGAAAGCCUUCCUCAGUGGUGCACUGGUAAUAUUAACCAGAUAUUGCUAGGGUUGCCAUGUCUCCUGGAAUUUAGGGUAGCCCCCGGAUUUUGGCUUCUCCACUUGGCUGCUAAAUUCCACCUGGAAUUAUGCGGAUUUCAGAUGUGCUGCCUGGAUUGCCUGGAUUUUACUCUAGAUCUGAUCACAUGGGAGGGCAGAGAAGGAGGGGGAAGUAUACAGAUCUGUCAAAUAAAUUUUUAAAAUGCAAAUUAAUUGUUGCAUAAUUUGCAUAACAUGCAGAUUAGGCCACUUGGAUUUGGGAAGUUUGAAUAUGGCAACCCUAGAUACUGCUAAGUUUCUUAUAAUGGUGGUACCAGGAUGAGAACUUUGAAGAUUGUACCACAGCAGAUGCAAUCUGUGUGCAGAAACAGGUUUUUGCAAGUAGGUCUGCUUUACUAGGUGUGUUGCAGCUUUCUUAGUGGGAGAAGGGUAAGAUCAUAUACACAGAUCAUAUACACAGUAAUGGAGUAGUCUGUGCAUAAUACUGUGCUUUUGACUUUUGCAGUCAGCAAGAAGGGGCAAGAAAUAAGAAGUUGCUUGAAAGGGUCCAGCAAUUGCAGCUACAACUCUAUAGGCAAGUUGUGAGAAUCCCCCACCCUUAGGAUUUACAGUAAAACAUGAAUGCAGGAAAACCAAAUGGCUGGCUGAUCUAUACAAAAAUACUUUGCUUAAACAAUAUGAAGGACAAUAUCAUUUGGUAACAAUAUCCCCUAAAAGACCCCCUAAAAAUUACCCCAAAAAGCUGACAAUUUUAAUUAGGGGUCAGUGAAGCUUACAGUGAAGCAUAAUUAUGAAAUGGUAUAAACAAAAUUAACAUUAUUAAUCCUUUCUAAGGGCUUUUAUUUUUAAUAAAAACAAUAACAAAAACCCAAGAAGAGCAUCACGUCCUUAGAAAUAGAGGACUGACUUAACAGUGCAUAAAACAGGGUUUUAUGUCCCAACCCGGAACACAGAGGCAUUCAAGCCCCAUUGAAAGUAUAGAUAUUGUAUGCAUUUGUGUGUUUGCAGAACAAAAUCUUAACUUUUUAACAUAUACCACAUUGUUAUUAAAGACACUCUUUGCCUUCAAAAUUAUUCUGAAGCUGAAGAAUUAGUUGCCUCAUAAUUGUUUCUAGAUAAAAUUAAUUGUCCCAAGAAGUCAAUGAAACAUUCUUUUCCCAUUUUACAAGCAAGACUUUAUUAACUUUUAACUUCUGUAGUCAAAAACUUGCCUUAAAUGGGACAUUUCAUACGGUUCCUGAACUCUCAAACAUUAAAAGCUAUGAAUGGAAGAGAACUUGAAGAUUUUAUGUUAAAACACACACACACACACACACACACACACACACACCCUGUAGAUAUUUAAACUGCGAAGCAAAAGCAAACAAAAACAAUUGCAGUCAAUUCUUUCCAAAUAGUAAUCAUGUGUAAAAACCCCAAGCACUUUGAUCUCUAGGACUGGAUCCAGAGAGGGCUUGCUACCAGUUACUCCUUCCAUCUGCAGCCCCUCACCCCCUCAUUCUAUGUCAUUCCUGAGGGUUUCCCAACUUCAGUUUAACUGCAGAGGAGGUAAAGGAAGUUUCAUUGUACAGCAGGUAGAGAAAGGCAGGAAAGGCCCGUUCCACAAGCUGAACUCUGUUUGCAGUUCUUAGAAUCCAAUAUGUUUUACACUCACCAGCCUCAUUGGUAACUAUUUGGUAAGCUAGUCAUCCAUAUUGCCUUGCCAUUGCCAAGUAGUGAGGAAAAUCUCACCCCACUACUAUGUCUGAGCAGAAAUCGAGGGAAGUGGAAAUGUUUUUAGGAUUUUUUUUAAUACCUGGAAUGUCUUUCACCAUAUACAUCUUUUAUGAUGCUAUCAGAUGUGGAGCUAUGAUUAAUCUACCAAGCAGGAAAUUAUACAGACUGGAAAUGGCGUCAUACCAAGUUCACAGUUCUCUCAAACAUUUGUUGCUACUUGUUCGUUUUCUGUAUCAAAACUCUUGAAAAAAAAUAUCAGUACUUGAUUCUAAAUGAGUAGCUGUGUAGAUCUAUUAUAGCAAAAACAACAGAGAGUCUUGGGACACCUUAUAGAUAAAUACAUUUGUAGUCGCAUACGCUUUCAUGGGCUACUCUGUCCACUUCAGAAGAUGCAGGAAGUGUUAUCACAAUUAAGGUUUUUUUUGUCACAUUACAUAA
This is a long non-coding RNA of Hemicordylus capensis (graceful crag lizard), 4351 nucleotides long. RefSeq lists it as uncharacterized. The transcript is spliced from 6 exons. Lineage: Eukaryota; Metazoa; Chordata; Lepidosauria; Squamata; Cordylidae. The record is from RefSeq and is a predicted model, not a curated record.